GACUAAAUGCUCCAAUUAAAAGACACAGACUGGCAAAUUGGAUAAAGAGUCAAGACCCAUCAGUGUGCUGUAUUCAGGAAACCCAUCUCAUGUGCAGAGACACACAUAGGCUCAAAAUAAAAGGAUGGAGGAAGAUCUACCAAGCAAAUGGAAAACAAAAAAAGGCAGGGGUUGCAAUCCUAGUCUCUGAUAAAACAGACUUUAAACCAACAAAGAUCAAAAGAGACAAAGAAGGCCAUGACAUAAUGGUAAAGGGAUCAAUUUGAGCUAUGAUCACGCCACCACACUCCAGCCUGGGCAACAAAGCGAAACCCCAUCUCUUAAACAAAGGUAGUAGGGAGAGGGAGACAAAAUUCUGCACCCUGCACUGGCCACCAUCAAGACAGAAGCAACAAUGUUUGAAGUCGCCCUUUGAGUUUGAGAUAAAAUAUAUUUGGGAAUACUACCCCAACCUACUUACUGGGUAGCCCGUAAGACUGCCGAUUGUUAGUGAAACCCAAUGUAAGACAGUGCCCUCCAGCAGAUUCAGGAUGCGAUGCUGUAGCAAACAGAGAUGCUGUGUGGAGUCUCUUCCAAAUACUAUUAGGACAAUCACAUUGCAGACUCCUACAGCUUUGAAAUAACGACAUGCACACCUGUCAAAAAUUUUUCUCCUCCCCACAAAGACAGGGUCUUCUUCUGUCAUCCAGGCUGGAGUGUGGUGGGGCGAUCACAGCUCACUGCAGCCUCAACCUCCUCCUGGGCUCAAGCGAACCUCUCAUCCCAGCCUCCUGAGUAACUGGGACCAAAAGCACACAACACUACAGUUGGCUGAUUUUUAAUUUUUUUGUAGAGAUGAGGUCUCAUUAUGUUGCCCAGGCUGGUCUUGAACUCCUGGGCUCAAGCAAUCCUCCCACCUCGGCCUCCCUAAGUGCUGGGAUUACAGGUGUAAGCCACGAUACCCAGCCAAUUCUUUAUUUGGUCAUCUUAAAAGGACACAACAGAAAUGAUAUAAAAUAACUUUUAUUUACAUAAUUUAUAUAUAUAUAACUGCUUUCUUUAGAACAAGAAAAUUUAUAAAUGACAUGAUAUUGCUUUUUCUGUCAAAGACUUCUUCAAGCAAGAUAGUAUACAUGGUCACUUUUGUUUCAAAUAACAUGAUGGUAAACAGUGGAUAUUAAUAUUUUUGUCAUGCCUCAACCAUUUACCAACAAUUAGGCGUUCAAAUCCUCAUGUUGACCACUUGCUAAGACAUACGUGUUCAGGAGAAAAAGUCAAGAAAAGAUAAAAACUUUUACUCAUAUCUCCUUUAAAAUUUGUGAAAUAAAUUCUUUGCAACAUCUUCUUUACAUGACUCAGACCUAAC
This 1345-nucleotide long non-coding RNA is filed under the name Pan troglodytes (chimpanzee). RNAcentral describes it as "long non-coding RNA NONPTRT013549". Lineage: Eukaryota; Metazoa; Chordata; Mammalia; Primates; Hominidae. The record is from RNAcentral.